GCCGGGGUGGCGGAACUGGCAGACGCACGGGACUUAAAAUCCCGAGUCCCCUCAGGGACGUGAGAGUUCGAUCCUCUCCCCCGGCACCA
RNAcentral lists this transfer RNA (89 nucleotides) under Acidobacteriota bacterium. RNAcentral describes it as "tRNA-Leu". It matches the Rfam family "tRNA". From Rfam's summary of the family: Transfer RNA (tRNA) molecules are approximately 80 nucleotides in length. Lineage: Bacteria; Pseudomonadati; Acidobacteriota. The record is from RNAcentral.